AUUGAACGCUGGCGGCAGGCCUAACACAUGCAAGUCGAACGAGUGGCGGACGGGUGAGUAAUGCCUGGGAAUCCAGCCUAUGGAGGGGGACAACUACUGGAAACGGUUGCUAAUACCGCCUACUGUCGGAUGAACACAUAUGGGAUUAGCUAGUAGGUGGGGUAAAGGCUCACCUAGGCGACGAUCUCUAGCUGGUCUGAGAGGAUGAUCAGCCACACUGGGACGGAGACACGGCCCAAACUCCUACGGGAGGCAGCAGUGGGGAAUAUUGCAGAAUGGGCGGAAGCCUGAUGCAGCCAUGCCGCGUGUAUGAAGAAGGCCUUAGGGUUGUAAAGUACGUUAAGCGGGGAGGCGUUACCCGCAGAAGAAGCACCGGCUAACUCCGUGCCAGCAGCCGCGGUAAUAC
RNAcentral lists this ribosomal RNA (406 nucleotides) under uncultured bacterium. RNAcentral describes it as "partial 16S ribosomal RNA". It matches the Rfam family "Bacterial small subunit ribosomal RNA", at positions 30 to 526 of the family's 1533-position model. The record is from RNAcentral.